CAAAUAUUGAAGAUUCUGGUUGGGAAGUCCUGGCAAACCCUCCCCUAACACAGCUCACUGAACUUUGACACGAUUGUUGAUUCCCUGCAGUGACCAGAUAGUUUCAGUUUCUCAGUACUUCACCCUCAUCAAAGGUUACAGGAAUUUUCAACAUUUGCUCACUUGGGGAAAUCCAGAAAGCCUCACAGGAUUGCAGGAGGAAAUGAAAAUUAAAAAAUAAACGCAAAGCCCAUCCACCUGUGCUGAAGAGCAAGAGCAGGACACAGUUAAAUGACUAUGGUCAGGAUGGAGCAGAGCUACUACUGAAAGGGCUGACUGUGGCUGAUUUUCGAGAGGGGACACAGAAAGUGAUGCAUGGUGAAGAGCCACCACCUUGGUGAAGGACAAAGAGAGAAAAUGCUGUGUUGAGGUGAGAAACACAAAGUGAAUAAGACAUAUGGUCUAUUCUAGAGCUGACUAUGACUGAUUGAUGGCCCAGGACCACAAGCUCAGCUAACAACACACACCGUGUUCCAACAUGUCAAGUUUCUUGAAAUUUCUGUAGCAACAGAAUAAAGAAAGUCAUAGAUCAAGGUUCAGUGAUAAAGUAUGUCUAACAUCACCUUAUCCACUCACCUGUAGACAAGACAGUUUUCUAGGUUGUAUUCAUUUCAUCACUGAUCGAAUGAUUGACAGCAACAAUAAGAGGAAGGAUUUAAUUGGCUCAAAGUUCAAGGGAUAUCAGUCCAUUAUGAAGGUGAAACAGGAAUCUAUGGCUAUGUGUGUAGUGGAAGGAACUUUGGCCUGUUCAUGACAACCCAGAAGCAAAGAGCAGAGGGCCAAGAGCAAGGCUGAAGAUGCUCUGCUCAAGUUUUUGCAGUCCAAGGAGAAUGUGACUGACACAAUUCUACAGGGAUCCACAAAGGAACAAGCUGGACUACUAGAGGAGGGAUUCCAGCAGGAAAUAAAAAAAAACUUGAGGAUGAAAAGAAGUAUCUCCGGAAAGGAAACUGAACCACAGAUGGCAUUGUAAGCUAAGGGUCUAAGAAUAACGCCAUUCUGCCACUCAAACAGAGCUGAACAGGGUCACAUCAAUUGAUAAUGAUUGGGUCCUCCAUCAGAAAACUAAAAAUCUGGAAAGAUGUGCAGUGUGAUCAUUGAAAUCCUGUUUAUCUUCUUAUAAGAUUGUGCUCCAAGAAUAUCAUUGACAUCUCUACCACAAGAGAGGCGUCAACAGGGCUACUCAGAAGAAAGUCCCUUUUCCAGAUAAUCACCAGGAGACAAAUAGACACUGAUCACAGUCUGUUUUAAAAAAUAAUUUAUUUAUUUUUAUUGUUUUAUGUGUGUCAGUGUUUUGCCUGCAUGUAUGUCCAUGUGGGGGUGACAGACCUUGGAGUUAUAGACAGUCAUGAGCUGCCAUAUGGGUGCUGGGAUUUGAACCCAGGUUCUCUGGAAGAGCAGUGCUCUUUAACCUCUGAGAUAUUUCUUCAGCCCCAUACUGAGCACAUUCUUAAAUGGUGGCACACAAUUAGGAACCAAGUUGUCCAGGGAUGUGAUGGCUCUGAAAGACAGGGAAAGCCAGCCUCAUUUGUUUUGGAGACAAUAUAAAGUUCUGGAUUAUAUCAAAAGUGCUCAACCUUUCAGCAAUGGCAUGAUUUGUGGACACUGGCAAUGAGCAACCCUAUCAAUACACUCCAUCAUAAAUCAAGACAGCUGCAUGGAGAUCUAGAGUACCCAUAUACAAUAUCCACAGGAAGAUGGAAGAAGCCAUUAGCAUGGCAAGGAACUGCUCCACUGUUGAAGAAGGAAAUAUUCCAGUUCAUAUGGAUGGAAACUGUAACAGGACAUUUCCAAACUCUAAGGGUUGACACGGACUACAUAGUAAUACGAUGACAACUAAGCACAAUGUAUAGCUUAUGUACUUAUGUAUAAACUAUACAUAAGUAUGUGUUAUGUAUACUUCAUAUAUAAAAAUACAUAACUUUAAAAGGGCUUUAAAUGGUGCUGGGUAACCUAUAGAUAUCAAAGGAAUUUUAAUUAUUUAUCUUUAAUUAUAAACUUACACUACUCUUUGUCCUAUUAUUAGCAACUAUACUUGAAAUCCUGUUGAUUUUCCCCAAGCAUAAUAAAGAUUCU
This 2115-nucleotide long non-coding RNA is filed under the name Cricetulus griseus (Chinese hamster). RNAcentral describes it as "lncRNA (ENSCGRG00015036041.1)". Lineage: Eukaryota; Metazoa; Chordata; Mammalia; Rodentia; Cricetidae. The record is from RNAcentral.